AAGUAUCAAGAACAUUAUUCAGGCAACACUGCGGAGAUGAACUCUGCCCCAGGCUUAGUGACUGUGGUACUCUUAGUGCUUGGACGAACACAUGGAGACUCAGUGACCCAGGCGGAAGGCCAAGUGACCCUGUUUAAAGGGGAUUCCCUGACUGUGAACUGCUCCUAUGAAACCACAGGUUAUCCCACUCUCUUCUGGUAUGUUCAGUAUCCUGGAGAAGGCCCACAGCUCCUCCUGAGAGCCACGAGGGCCGAUGAGAAGGGAAGCAACAGCGGUUUUGAAGCCACAUAUCGCAAAGAACCAAACUCCUUCCACUUGGAGAAAGCCUCAGUCCAGGAGUCAGAUUCGGCAACGUACUUCUGUGCUCUGAGUGACACAGUGACAGAGAGUUGGGGCCGUCCCAGAUGGGGCCCCGGAGCGGGAGUGUCCACAGCUGACAGAGGGAGAAGGAGGGAGACCUGA
This is a non-coding RNA of Pteronotus mesoamericanus, 462 nucleotides long. Lineage: Eukaryota; Metazoa; Chordata; Mammalia; Chiroptera; Mormoopidae. The record is from the annotation of a RefSeq genome assembly.